RNAcentral lists this ribosomal RNA (444 nucleotides) under uncultured bacterium. RNAcentral describes it as "partial 16S ribosomal RNA". It matches the Rfam family "Bacterial small subunit ribosomal RNA", at positions 338 to 795 of the family's 1533-position model. The record is from RNAcentral.
CCUACGGGUGGCAGCAGUGAGGAAUAUUGGUCAAUGGACGCAAGUCUGAACCAGCCAUGCCGCGUGCAGGAAGACGGCUCUAUGAGUUGUAAACUUCUUUUGUACGGGACGAAGAAAGUGACGGUACCGUAAGAAUAAGCCACGGCUAACUACGUGCCAGCAGCCGCGGUAAUACGUAGGUGGCAAGCGUUAUCCGGAUUUACUGGGUGUAAAGGGCGAGUAGGCGGGAUUGCAAGUCAGAUGUGAAAACUAUGGGCUCAACCGAUAGAGUGCAUUUGAAACUGCAGUUCUUGAGUGAUGGAGAGGCAGGCGGAAUUCCCGGUGUAGCGGUGGAAUGCGUAGAUAUCGGGAGGAACACCAGUGGCGAAGGCGGCCUGCUGGACAUUAACUGACGCUGAGGCGCGAAAGCGUGGGGAGCAAACAGGAUUAGAUACCCGGGUAGUC